RNAcentral lists this long non-coding RNA (1236 nucleotides) under Olea europaea subsp. europaea. Lineage: Eukaryota; Viridiplantae; Streptophyta; Magnoliopsida; Lamiales; Oleaceae. The record is from RNAcentral.
CGAUCUUUUUGACAUCAACAAUUCCUUACACUAAAGUUUAAUCCAAUCCACAACCAAGUGUAACCGUCCCUCAUCAUCAGCAGCCAGGUUUGCCAACUGAGCAAACUCACGGCACAUUUUGUCGUAUCUCAACUGCUUGGGAGAAUUAAUUAAAUCGCCAUAGUUCACCGCAACCCUAUUGUGUGCUCAGCUAACAUCUUGUCUUCAUCUCCGCAGUAUGUACAUGAAGUGACGUGACAGCACAACUAAUCAAUACUAUAAUCGCAUGCCUACAAAGUACUCCUCGGAACUCAAACAAAUGGUAGCUACAAACAAUGUCACAAUUCUUUUUCUUGAAUGAGAUGACGAAUGUUUUUUCUUUCGUCGCCCAUCGUAUAUAACAUCCUCUCGUACCUCAUAUGAUGCCGACAAGUCUCCCUCCAAAGUGGAUGAGAUAUCAUAGUAAACCUUUCCCGUGAACUCAUCCUGAGCUUCCUUGAAUUUUGCUUUCGUAUAAACUGACUGAAAUUGCAUCUCCAUUUCAUACUGCGUUGCACCCGGUACCAUUUGCGAAAAUGACUUGAAAUCAGCCUAGAACUCCUUCUCAACCUUAUUCCACAGUGCUCGUUCAUACUGUUCCAUAAAUUGCUUUAACAAAGCCUUCGAAUUCAAGUUUCGUCGAAGAAUACAUUUAUAUUCUCACUUCUUUGUGUUGUUGACAUACCUACCCAGAACGUAGUCUUCAAAAAACAAGGAACCCAACGAUUUCGGUUCUCAUACAGGCCAGAUAACCAAUCAUUAUCUUACAAGCUAAAUUGAUCAAUCAUCAAAGCCCAACCCUCUUCAAACUCUUCAACAAGUUGCGAAUUAUAAACUAAUACGUGUAUGGCCCUAAAUAUCGAAGACUUGUCAUUGUGGUACCCAAACUUUUCAGGCAACUUCUUUAAAAUGUUCCACAAACACCAUCUAUGCCUCGUGUGUGGAAAAACAUCUAUACACUGUAGCCAUAUCCUGAACAACCACACAAAAGUAUCCGUGUCUUCAUUUGACACCAAACCACAACCAAGCAAAGUUGAUUGCCCGUGAUGAUUGACGCCAACAAAUGGGGUGAACGACAUGUCAUUUUCAGUUAAGUGGUAUCAAACGUAACAACAUCGUCGAAUUCCUUAUAGGCUUGCCUACAACAAUUAUCAACCCAGAAUACAUUUUUCAGUCAGGAGUCAUCAUCUAAAUUUAUGCUGAAGUAAAAUUUCAGGC